GACGAACGCUGGCGGCGUGCUUAACACAUGCAAGUCGAGCGGUAAGGCCCUUUCGGGGGUACGACGAGCGGCGAACGGGUAAGGUAACACGUGGGUGACCUGCCCUCAGCUCUGGGAUAAGCCUGGGAAACCGGGUCUAAUACUGGAUAUGACUCCAUGACGCAUGUUGUGGGGUGGAAAGCCUUGUGCGGCUGAGGAUGGGCCCGCGGCCUAUCAGCUUGUUGGUGGGGUGAUGGCCUACCAAGGCGA
Molecule: ribosomal RNA, 249 nt
Filed under: uncultured Actinomycetes bacterium
Lineage: Bacteria; Bacillati; Actinomycetota; Actinomycetes
Description: uncultured actinobacterium partial 16S ribosomal RNA
Rfam family: Bacterial small subunit ribosomal RNA
Source: RNAcentral